CACGGGUGAGUAACACGUAUCCAACCUGCCGUCUACUCUUGGACAGCCUUCUGAAAGGAAGAUUAAUACAAGAUGGCAUCAUGAGUCCGCAUGUUCACAUGAUUAAAGGUAUUCCGGUAGACGAUGGGGAUGCGUUCCAUUAGAUAGUAGGCGGGGUAACGGCCCGCCUAGUCUUCGAUGGAUAGGGGUUCUGAGAGGAAGGUCCCCCACAUUGGAACUGAGACACGGUCCAA
RNAcentral lists this ribosomal RNA (233 nucleotides) under uncultured bacterium. Its description in RNAcentral is "partial 16S ribosomal RNA". It matches the Rfam family "Bacterial small subunit ribosomal RNA", at positions 102 to 334 of the family's 1533-position model. The record is from RNAcentral.